CUACGGGUUGCAGCAGUGAGGAAUAUUGGUCAAUGGGCGAGAGCCUGAACCAGCCAUGCCGCGUGCAGGAUGACGGCCCUAUGGGUUGUAAACUGCUUUUGUACGGGAAGAAUAGGCGCCACGUGUGGCGAUUUGACGGUACCGUACGAAUAAGCACCGGCUAACUCCGUGCCAGCAGCCGCGGUAAUACGGAGGGUGCAGGCGUUAUCCGGAUUUAUUGGGUUUAAAGGGUGCGUAGGCGGGCUUAUAAGUCAGUGGUGAAAUCUCGUGGCUCAACCAUGAAAUUGCCAUUGAUACUGUAGGCCUAGAAGAUAGUUGAGGUAGGCGGAAUGUGUCAUGUAGCGGUGAAAUGCUUAGAUAUGACCCAGAACACCAAUUGCGUAGGCAGCUUGCUAAACUAUUACUGACGCUGAUGCACGAAAGCGUGGGUAGCGAACAGGAUUAGAUACCCGGGUAGUC
RNAcentral lists this ribosomal RNA (459 nucleotides) under uncultured bacterium. Its description in RNAcentral is "partial 16S ribosomal RNA". It matches the Rfam family "Bacterial small subunit ribosomal RNA", at positions 339 to 795 of the family's 1533-position model. The record is from RNAcentral.